This 207-nucleotide ribosomal RNA is filed under the name uncultured bacterium. Its description in RNAcentral is "partial 16S ribosomal RNA". It matches the Rfam family "Bacterial small subunit ribosomal RNA", at positions 568 to 774 of the family's 1533-position model. The record is from RNAcentral.
UGCGUAGGCGGUUUAUCAAGUCAGGGGUGAAAGGCUACGGCUCAACCGUAGUGAGCCUCUGAAACUGGUGAACUUGAGUGUAGGAGAGGAAAGUGGAAUUCCCAGUGUAGCGGUGAAAUGCGUAGAUAUUGGGAAGAACACCAGUGGCGAAGGCGACUUUCUGGACUACAACUGACGCUGAGGCACGAAAGCGUGGGGAAGCAAACA